GAGCGGAUGGAGGCGGAGGCGGAUCUUUGAUGACCUAAAAAACCAAACAUGCAAAAACCUGUGAAUUCUAAGGAGUUCCCUCAAUACUGAAAAGAAGCAAUGGUCAAGUGAGAGGAAGAGGAAGGCCACAAUCCUCGUGAAGGAUGAUGAUAAGAACUGAAGACCCAGGCAUUGUUCCACAGGUUAAUUACCUGUGAGUGAUGAAAAUGCUAUUGGAAAAAUGCAUGGUGUUGAGCAGAAGGCUGUGUCCUGUAUGCGUAUGUGCCUAACGGGAAAGCUGCGCUGAAGUCACACUUUUAAAUGAGGCAAAUUAAAAGCUGUAUCUAUUUGACAUAGAUUUUCAAAACCCUCGUUCCUGCCUGGUGUUCUCUUUAUUUAACUGCAACACUUCUAAAUAUCAUGACUACAUAAUAGAGAAGAGAGAAGCAAUAAGUGGACAGCAGAAAAAUGAGAUGAGAAAAUGUGUAUAUUGAGUUUUCAAAGGCACUAACUGUAUCAGUAUGGAGUUUAUCCUAAGAGCUAUUUCUGUUUUGUUUUGUUUUGUUUUGUUUUCUAAGACUAUGAUAAAGAUGUAGGAAGAUGUUCACAGUACCUAGCCCUAGGCCUAACUUGGAUACUCUACUCAACAUAGACCUCAUUAGCAGGGCCGAGAGCCUAGAGUGCUUAUAUAGGUGCCUUAUUGAGGUGUCUCAAGCUGCACAGAACUAAUAUCCUCCUGCAGGAUUAUAAUCUUCUUCCAUGCCA
Nothoprocta perdicaria is the source of this 744-nucleotide long non-coding RNA. RefSeq lists it as uncharacterized. The record is from RefSeq and is a predicted model, not a curated record. Lineage: Eukaryota; Metazoa; Chordata; Aves; Tinamiformes; Tinamidae. The transcript is spliced from 3 exons.